This 28-nucleotide non-coding RNA is filed under the name Mus musculus (house mouse). The record is from RNAcentral. Lineage: Eukaryota; Metazoa; Chordata; Mammalia; Rodentia; Muridae.
UAGCUCCAAGUUCCUUCCCGAUAGAGCU